This 98-nucleotide ribosomal RNA is filed under the name Rickettsiales bacterium TMED174. Its description in RNAcentral is "partial 23S ribosomal RNA". It matches the Rfam family "Bacterial large subunit ribosomal RNA", at positions 2830 to 2925 of the family's 2925-position model. Lineage: Bacteria; Pseudomonadati; Pseudomonadota; Alphaproteobacteria; Rickettsiales. The record is from RNAcentral.
UAGAGCCGUAGUAGACCACUACGUUGAUAGGCUGGGUGUGGAAGCGCGGCAACGCGUGAAGCUGACCAGUACUAAUAGCUCAAUUGGCUUGAUUUAUG